AUUAAAAACCAAUGCCCUUCGGGGCUCUCUGGUGAUUCAUAAUAACUUCUCGAAUCGCACGGCCUUGUGCCGGCGAUGGUUCAUUCAAAUUUCUGCCCUAUCAACUUUCGACGGCUGGGUCUUGGCCAGCCGUGGUGACAACGGGUAACGGAGGGUUAGGGCUCGACCCCGGAGAAGGAGCCUGAGAAACGGCUACUACAUCCAAGGAAGGCAGCAGGCGCGCAAAUUACCCAAUCCCGACACGGGGAGGUAGUGACAAUAAAUACUGAUACAGGGCUCUUUCGGGUCUUGUAAUUGGAAUGAGUACAAUUUAAAUCCCUUAACGAGGAACAAUUGGAGGGCAAGUCUGGUACCAGCAGCCGCGGUAAUUCCAGCUCCAAUAGCGUAUAUUAAAGUUGUUGAGGUUAAAAAGCUCGUAGUUGAACCUUGGGCCUAGCCGGCCGGUCCGCCUCACCGCGUGCACUGGCUCGGCUGGGUCUUUCCUUCUGGAGAACCGCAUGCCCUUCACUGGGUGUGCC
This 518-nucleotide ribosomal RNA is filed under the name uncultured fungus. Its description in RNAcentral is "SSU rRNA". It matches the Rfam family "Eukaryotic small subunit ribosomal RNA", at positions 214 to 732 of the family's 1831-position model. The record is from RNAcentral. Lineage: Eukaryota; Fungi.